This 71-nucleotide transfer RNA is filed under the name Methanosarcinales archaeon. RNAcentral's name for it is "tRNA-Cys". It matches the Rfam family "tRNA". Rfam says of the family: Transfer RNA (tRNA) molecules are approximately 80 nucleotides in length. Their secondary structure includes four short double-helical elements and three loops (D, anti-codon, and T loops). Lineage: Archaea; Methanobacteriati; Methanobacteriota; Methanomicrobia; Methanosarcinales. The record is from RNAcentral.
GCCGAGGUGGCAGAGAGGCUAUGCAUCCGACUGCAGAUCGGAUUACAUGAGUUCAAAUCUCAUCCUCGGCU